Molecule: ribosomal RNA, 464 nt
Filed under: uncultured bacterium
Lineage: Bacteria
Description: partial 16S ribosomal RNA
Rfam family: Bacterial small subunit ribosomal RNA
Source: RNAcentral
CUACGGGUGGCACCAGUGGGGAAUUUUGGACAAUGGGGGCAACCCUGAUCCAGCCAUGCCGCGUGAGUGAAGAAGGCCUUCGGGUUGUAAAGCUCUUUCAGCCGGGAAGAAAUCGUGCAGGCUAAUAUCCUGCAUGGAUGACGGUACCGGACCAAGAAGCACCGGCUAACUACGUGCCAGCAGCCGCGGUAAUACGUAGGGUGCGAGCGUUAAUCGGAAUUACUGGGCGUAAAGCGUGCGCAGGCGGAUGCUUAAGUCAGAUGUGAAAUCCCCGGGCUUAACCUGGGAAUUGCAUUUGAAACUGGGGGCCUAGAGUGCGUCAGAGGGGGGUGGAAUUCCAGGUGUAGCAGUGAAAUGCGUAGAUAUGUGGAGGAACACCAAUGGCGAAGGCAGCCCCCUGGGAUGACACUGACGCUCAUGCACGAAAGCGUGGGGAGCAAACAGGAUUAGAUACCCGGGUAGUC